This 577-nucleotide unclassified non-coding RNA is filed under the name Hermetia illucens (black soldier fly). RNAcentral's name for it is "uncharacterized LOC119649390, transcript variant X3". Lineage: Eukaryota; Metazoa; Arthropoda; Insecta; Diptera; Stratiomyidae. The record is from RNAcentral.
GUGAGUGCAUGUGAAAUGAUCCAGGAAAAACGAAGUGAAGGUACCUAGGAAAGAAUGAAAAUGAAACGAUAAGUUUAUACCUAAUAAUACGUCUCCCGAAAAUGGAAGAAGAAAAUGUCCUGCCAAGACGCAACCUUAAUAAACGAGUUUUAAAAAGAUGUAAUGGGACAUUAGGUAUAGAAAAUGUACCAGAAAUACCUUCAAUUGCUGACAUAAUAGAAGGACUAACAAACUUAAAGAAACAAAUUAAACGAAGAGAUGAAAAAUCAACAAAUGGAGUUAAUUAAUCUAGUAGCGGAAACUUCUGCUUUACUUAAGGAACCAAUAACGCUUCGAAAAAGUAAGGAAUCGUUGAAACAACUGGAUGAAUACUUGCAAAAAAACGAAGAUAAAAUUAAUCCGUCCUUAUACAGGGCUCCCGUACAGACGGAUUCUCCGAAAUCGCCAAAAACAAAUACCAUAAAACUGAAUGCGUACAAAAGAAAAACUUAUGCAUAACAAUACUGCAAGCAUUGCACCUUGAAUUUUAUAUUAUUGUGUAUUAUGUUUUCACUUGGAAGAAUUUAUUUAUAUUAUA